Ornithorhynchus anatinus (platypus) is the source of this 1789-nucleotide long non-coding RNA. RefSeq lists it as uncharacterized. Lineage: Eukaryota; Metazoa; Chordata; Mammalia; Monotremata; Ornithorhynchidae. The record is from RefSeq and is a predicted model, not a curated record. The transcript is spliced from 5 exons.
AAGUGGAGGAGCCGGGAUUAGAACCCGCGACCUGUGACUCCUAAGCCCGGGCUCUUUCCACUGAGCCCUUCUCCUAAAACCACGCCGGAUCCCGGGCAGACCAUGAAAGGAGAAUUAGGUACUUCUGUGAAACUUUUGGCCUCUGUCCUUGUAAGAGAUUCAUGCCGGAGAUAUCGCUAAGACUAGUGGCAGAAGACUCUAAUCAUGAUGGGAUGCGAUUGACAGUGGUUGUUGGCAGGCAGAUGGAACGUGAAGCCAAGGAGAGGCAGCUCACGUUACGGAUCCUUUAAGACUAUGAAGAAAACUAUAUCAAAGCGUGCCUACGAAGCAAGCCACACCUUUUCGGGCCUACCGUAUCAAAGUUAAGCCUCAUGUUUUCCCUUGAGGAGUUUUUCAUUACAAAGAUACAAAUUAUGUUGCAGCCACAGUGUCACUCCCGGCAAGCCUACUUCUCAGGACUCGAGCUGCUGCCUGAAGCCUGAGAAGCUGGAAAGGAAGAAUGAACUGGGGGACAGGAAAGGGGAAGAGAAAGCUAGGAAGAAUGAAAUUGGAGGGCACGGAGUUCCAAGAAGUUUCUGGUGGGCAAAUGGAUGUACCUGUCUCCUGUGAUGGAACCUCAGAGUCCCCACUGGAAAUGGAACACAUGAGACAUGGACCUAAAGAGGAAAAAAAGGCAGAUCAAAGCCUGUGGGCUUUGCCCACACCUGAAGAGUGAAAGUAUGAACUAUUUCACUUCAACUUUAAAAACAUGCAACUCAUCAGGAAUACCCACCCAAACACACACACAUACACAGGUUCACACUCAAGGGUGCACACUGGUUUAUAUCUUGUUCUGUGACUGGAGUUACUACUGUUGAAAAAUCACAUUUCUAGCACCACCGCCCCCCAAAAAAAUUCAUUUGAGGGGGGGAAAAGGUCCUCAAAGUGGAACUUCUAUUUACUGCUGGAGCAUUGGAAGCAACAGCCCCAGCAAUGAAGGCCUGGUCCCUCUACAAACAAUAUCAUUUAAUGCAGCACUAUAGAAGCAUUCACUAAAACAUAUUUUCUUUUCAUUGACAUGUAUGAUUGACAAUCCCCAACAAAAAACCCCAAUAAAACCUAUCAAAUCAUUCAGAUCUGUGCCCAAACGGAGUAAGUUCGGCCCAUAAAGCGGCCUUGGGAAGGGAAGAUAAAUCACAGCAGCAUUAUUUAUGAGCACAUUCAGUUAUGUGCAUAAUAGCCUAUUCUUUCGUUGCUUUUGUGUAUAAACAUUUCAAAAUAGGAUUAUUUAAAAAGGACCUUGGGAUGUACUACCCUGGUUUGGGGGGCUGGAGAGAACUAACCAGGGUGCUGUUGGGCAAAACUCUAUUCAAGUGUCAGUGAAAGUUUCAUCUAAAUUUGGUACAAAAUCCUAGUCCAAAAAAGAAAUCUGUGCAGGGGCCCAUUUGAGUCCCAGGGAGCUUGUUGGGGCUUGUAGGUCUGAAGCACCCAUGGUGAAUAAUUCAUGGAGUGAGCUUCUAUGCAGAAAAGGCUUAGGAACUGAACAUGAAGUUGAUUCCUCUUGACGAUUCUUUCCCUUCUCUUCUUUGGCGGUGGCUGGUGGGAAUUGCGGGCCACAGAUGAGGCUGUUGUUUCACAACGGACUCUGCAAGGUCAAAAAGAGAGUGGUAGCAAAUGUGAUUUGUGAUGUGGGGCUCCUACGACUUGUCCAUUCUGGGUCUUUGGGAAAGGAGGAUCCGUACCCCUUAAGCAUUUGAUAUUCACCCCAACCUCAGCUCCACAGCACUUACGUAAAUAUCCCUUCACUCUC